UAAUACGUAGGUGGCGAGCGUUGUCCGGAUUUACUGGGCGUAAAGAGCGCGCAGGCGGCCUGAUCAGUCGAAUGUGAAAGCCCCCGGCUCAACUGGGGAGGGUCAUUCGAUACUGUCAGGCUAGAAGGCAGGAGAGGGAAGUGGAAUUCCCGGUGUAGUGGUGAAAUGCGUAGAUAUCGGGAGGAACACCAGUGGCGAAGGCGACUUUCUGGCCUGUUCUUGACGCUGAGGCGCGAAAGCCAGGGGAGCGAACGGGAUUAGAUACCCCGGUAGUCCUGGCCGUAAACGAUGGACACUAGGUGUUGGUGGUAUCAACCCCGCCAGUGCCGUAGCUAACGCAUUAAGUGUCCCGCCUGGGGAGUACGGCCGCAAGGCUA
RNAcentral lists this ribosomal RNA (377 nucleotides) under uncultured bacterium. RNAcentral's name for it is "bacterial SSU rRNA". It matches the Rfam family "Bacterial small subunit ribosomal RNA", at positions 521 to 896 of the family's 1533-position model. The record is from RNAcentral.